GGCAGCGGAUCCGUGUAUCUGAUUAGACUUCGGUACGACAGAAGAACCAAGGACCGCAAAAAGCUGUUAUUGUGCUCAGUUACACUUUUGCUGACGGAGAGGUAGACAUGUUUUGGUGUAGAGACUAGCAAACUGCCAGUCAUGGACAUAAAGCCAACAUUGUAACCUCGUAUGCCUGGCAGUGGCGCACUUCAGGGGCCGGUGAAAUCGCUUGUCUACAAACGAGCAGUUUGCUCGUUUGCAGCCGGGCAAAGGUGGAGAAAAUGUUGCUGGGCAAACGCUUCGCUUCUGCCCGCUUGUGUAGACGGACCUUUACACUUGGUCCGAUGUGUAGAUGGAAGCAGCAGAAGGAAGAAAAAGGGGAAAACAAAAGAGGACGACGAAGAAAAAAGGAAAAAAAGAAAGAAACCAAAUUUAAAUAUUUAGCUAAGUAUCCCUUUGUAAUCUUGUCGUUCUUUGUAAUGCUUUCUGGUGUUUAGGUGGUGUGUUUAGGGUAUUUCAAUUAUUAGGGAGUGUUUGGGUAGUAUUGCAUUUUGUUUUGGAUGUGUUUGGAUUCUUGUAAAUAUUUUAGGUGUAUUUUGUGUGUUAUGGGUGCAUUUUCUAUGUUCAGUGUGUGGUAGAUGGAUUUAGGUGUAUUUUACGUAUUUUGAGUGUUGGGAUGGUAUUGGAGUAUUUAGGUGUGUUUUGAGAGUGUUUGGAGGCAUUUCGAGAUGUUUUACGACAUUUUGAGUGUUGAGUGUGUGUUCUGGGUGUGCUUUGUGGUGUGGGGGUAUAAUGGGUGUUUCUAGGGAGUUUUGGGUAUGUUUGGGGGUGUUUUGAGACGUUUCAUGGUGUUUUGAGUGUUUGGGGUUAGUUUUCCCAGAGUUUUUGAGUGUUUUUAGUACUUUGAGUUUCUGGAUGUGUGGGACCGAUGUUAAUUCUUGGUGUGUUUGGGUAUGUGUGGGUCGUGUGGAUGUUCUGUUACUUUUGGGGUGAAUUUGUUCAUGAUAUUAGCGACUUUAGCGACAAGUAGUGAAUGAGCUGAAAGUGUAGGAGGGAGGGACUUCGUCAGCCACCUCGCCUCGCCCACUGCCAUCAUGCUAUGCCAUACCACGCCACACACCACACCAGUGACUGACUCUACAUGUCCAGCCGCCGCCGGUAUCACAGCCUGAGAUGAGAUGGGCACACACCACGCUAUGUAAGAGAAUCAUGAAUAGGGAAGGAGGUAGAGAGUAAGUUAGGGAAGGAGACAUGUAGGGAGAAAAGGGGCAGAGAAGAAGAGGCGUCUACGGAGUUAAUCUAUAAUAAUGUAUGCUUGAUGUGGGGGAGGUAGGUGUUCUCUUUCACUGACCUCUCACUUUCUUACCAGGUGUGGAGCGAAGGUUAACUGGAAGCCAAAAUGAACCUUGCCAAGCUGCCAACCGAGAAGAUGCAACUAUGUCAGAAAUAUCACAAGGGCCUCCUCGUUGAUGUGCAAGCCGGUGUUGGUGGUAGGCCGGCCCGAAGAACUUCCCUACUCAGCUUACCUGGCAGCCAUGAUGGGGUGAUGGCCAGCGAGGGAAGGCCGUGUGUCAAGCUGCUCCGCCCUCAACCCUGGCAACAUUCCUACGUAGUAUAUAGUGUUGAAGUUGUGUGUGCAGACCCAGAGUAGCGCGAGUGAUGAAUGACAGACAACCCAGCUGUAUCUCUCGGUCCUAGGACCUACAGACUAUUUACCUCCACGUCGGCCGUUUACGCUCGCCAGGCUGCAAAACUGCAAGAAGAGAUAGACAGCUGUGAUGGGCCAUUUUGUAUUUCCCAACAUCAAGUAUAUAAAAUAAGUAGUCUGUUAUGUUUGACAAGCCCUAUAACAAACACACAGUACUACUAGUUAGUACACUACUACUACUUAGUACUGAGGAAGGAAUACUACAAAUUAAAGCCCUCGGCUAUCCCCCCAGUUGUUGUUAGGGAGACGGGAGUGGUUGGUUGUACUUGCCGUCAAGUAAGGCAGCACCAACCACCCAGCGAGGUUUCCUGGCUGGCUUCUCUCUCAGAAGACACGGCUCUAAGUUCCAUGUCUUAUUUGAUGAUGUCUUGAGUCCUUCACCAACCAGGGAUGUGUGAUCAACUUGGUUGGUGACGACUGGUAAUAAAUAAUAAUCACCCGUUGCGAGGCCAGAGUUGUAUUCCUCGUCCGCCACACGCCCAUGAACGUGAUGCUGCGGGUGUUACGGGCUGCCCCUACGUCUCGCUGCGGGCGGUCACAAGCAGCCGCCAGCCCUCAACACGCUCUGGUGAGUGCAGACCCAGAGUAGCGAGUGAUGAAUGACAACCAGCUGUAUCUCUCGGUCCUAGGACCUGCAGACUGUUUUCCUGCACGUCGGCCGUUUACGCUCGCCAGGCUGCAAAACUGCAAGAAGAGAUAAAGACAGC
This 2397-nucleotide long non-coding RNA is filed under the name Portunus trituberculatus (swimming crab). RNAcentral describes it as "uncharacterized LOC123508990, transcript variant X3". Lineage: Eukaryota; Metazoa; Arthropoda; Malacostraca; Decapoda; Portunidae. The record is from RNAcentral.